UACGUAGGGUCCGAGCGUUGUCCGGAGUUACUGGGCGUAAAGCGCGCGCAGGCGGCCGUCCAAGUCUGGCGUGAAAGCCCCCGGCUCAACCGGGGAGGGUCGCCGGAGACUGGGUGGCUUGAGGGCGGCAGGGGUCGGUGGAAUUCCCGGUGUAGUGGUGAAAUGCGUAGAGAUCGGGAGGAACACCCGUGGCGAAGGCGGCCGACUGGGCCGUCCCUGACGCUGAGGCGCGAAGGCGUGGGGAGCGAACGGG
This 253-nucleotide ribosomal RNA is filed under the name uncultured bacterium. RNAcentral describes it as "partial 16S ribosomal RNA". It matches the Rfam family "Bacterial small subunit ribosomal RNA", at positions 524 to 776 of the family's 1533-position model. The record is from RNAcentral.